RNAcentral lists this long non-coding RNA (3885 nucleotides) under Homo sapiens (human). Its description in RNAcentral is "HSALNT0305095". Lineage: Eukaryota; Metazoa; Chordata; Mammalia; Primates; Hominidae. The record is from RNAcentral.
CUCCCAAGCUCAAAGCUCUCAUAAAGCCAUGGCAUCUACAUGCUGUGAAAAGCCUCGUGCUGUCCUUUUGAGCAGCCAGUGUUGCUGCAAACUGCCGGGGACCCACUUAGUUUCAAACAUGAUUUUUUCCCUGAAAUAACGGCCUCCCAUCUAAUGGCACGCUGAGGUCACGGGGCACGGUGGAACCAGUCUGUGAUCUGGGAGCCUGCCCCCAGAGACACACCAGUGGAACUCGUGAACCGUCUAGAUUAAAAGAUUAAAACGUCCUUACUGCAGGUCUUUAUCAUGAAGCCCAUCUAAUCAGUGGCACGUUUACUCAGAAUAAAGAAUGGCCCCUCUAAGGGAGGGGGGAAGGCAGCAAAGGGUCAGCAAGGAGCCCUGUGUGGGGGUCCUGCCGUCUGGGUUCCAGUCAUUAAGAAAGCAUAUAUUCUUUGAGCCUCCACUCCUGAAUCUGUAAAACGAGAGCUCUGGACUCCAGGGUGGCUCUUGAGAUUGUGUUUCUCCCUAUAAUUUCUAUAAUUUUUUGCAAAUCACAACUACCUUCUCACUUUAUUAUGCAUAAUGAUUUAAAUGCCCUGUUUCCAUGAAUGUGUAUUCUUUUAUUGUGCUAAAAUAGGCAUAGCAUAAAAUUUACUAUUUUAACCAUUUUUUAAGUGUACUCUUCAGUGGUAUUAAGUACACUCACUGUGCUGUAGCUAUCACCACCAUCCAUCUCCAGAGCUUUUUCAUCUUCCCAGACAGAAACUCUGUCCCCAUUAAACAAUAACUCCUCAUUCCCCCCCCUUGCCUCCAGCCACUAGUAACCACUGCUCUAAUUUCUUUCUCUAUGAAUCUAACCCUUCCAGUUAUCUCAUGUAAGUGGAAUCCAUACAAUUUUUUUUAUAUUUACAAACAUCCUCAGCAUGACAAGGAUUGAACAAGAUUAUAGUUUUAUUUUGUUUGUAAUAUGCUGUCCCUUUUCUGUCCUGUCCUGAUACAUGUAAAUGGCACUAAAACAGAGUGGCCCUCUCCAGGGCCGCUGGCAUGAUCAAUGCUUUCACAGAUUUAAAAAAUGGAAGCUGAGCCCCAAAAUCUAAUUACAUAGAAAGCAUUUGCGCAGGGAUUGCAUCCAGUGAGAAGCAUCAGGGACAUACUAUUUUGGUACACUCAAAGACACACUUUUAAAAUCAAUAUUUUAAAAGUCAUAUCAGAAGUAAGAUAAACCAGGCUGCUAUCUCAACCCUCCGUGUGUACUCUGUACAUGAUGUCUCUCUCACCGCUGAGAAAAGCUAUGCGUAACAACAGGAAACUGAUCACAGAUCCCAACAUCAGCCCCGGUGACUAAGAGAAUGGAUCUUUCAAGCCAACAACCCAACAGUAAAGUUCUAAAAUUACACCACCCAAGUCCUCUACUGUUUCCUUCUUUUGGACAAAAGCAAAUAUUGACCAGGUGCCAGCCUCGAGCCAUUUGAGGCAAAGGCAGCCGUUGCGAUGGGCAAAGCCACAGCCUGGCCACACCGGGCCAGGCUCCACGUCCAAACCCGCUUGCAUCGUAGAAUUUUGAAAUUAACAAGUCACCAGACCACACACCAAGCAAGGAGUAAUCACUUCACAGAGAGAAAAUAACUAUGUUUAAAAUGAAAGCAAGAUCAACACUGGCCUAAAUGCUGGUAAAAUGACCUUGAGGGAUGUUCCAAAUUGAAACGGAUCAAAUUAGUUUUCAAUCCACUCUAAAAUAUGAAAUGUCAAAAAUAAAAAUAUGCUGAUGAGGCUCAGCGCGCUGAAGUUUUAAAAUGACUAAAACGACAUCUGUCAUGGAAAUCCCUGCAAUUUUACAAGAGAAUAAGAAAGGCUAUUUUAAACGGUGCUUAGUCACGUUGCAUUUUUUUGGUAGUAAUGUCCAAACUUUCCUGUCCCGGUGGCAGAACCCAUGAGCAUGACCUCCACAGGACUCUGGGGGAAUGGGGGUGGGCAAGUUCCAAAAAUACCACUCACAGCUCACAAAUGACGGCUGGUCAACUCACAUUUGACUGUGAAAGCCACAGUGCAGGAGCGAGGACGGACUAAAAUGUCUACAGGAGAAGGUAGGGUGUUGUGUUCUAGAAACCCUGGCAGCUGUGGGUGAGCACAGAAUUUUCUAAUGAGUAAGACUGAAAUCAGUGAAAAUGCCUCAGCAUUAAAGGGAAAAAUAACUUAUCUGCUGUCUAACCACGGAGCUCAGGCAUCUAAGAAAAGCCUAAAUAAUUCACGAAAACUGUGCCCAAAUAGACAAAAGGAGCUCACUGCUUCUUGCAGAAUAUUUAAACCUGACUCAACUUUGGGGUUUUAAUCCAAAUAUCUUAAGUUCACAUUUCAUUGCUGGAACAUUCCAUGUUGUAUCAGGAGCUGACUUAGGUGGGUGAAGUUCUUAACCCUGAACAGAGAAUAAAAUGUUAAAAAUAGUAAUGAGAGUGCCGAUACCUCCAUAGACAACCCUAAAAUGUGUAAUGUGUUCAUGAAACACACUGCUCACCGUCUAAAGGAAAGGUGGUUAAUCCUGGGCAAUUCAGGUUUCUUUGCAGCUACGCCAUGGAAGGUCCCUUAAAUGCAAGACUCAGCAUGGAAACCUCUUUCACUCUGGAAUCCUUCUCCAGAACUUGGGUGAAGGUUCACACACUUACAUCUACCCCCAUGCUUCCCCAAAAGGGCUAAACCCAGAAAAGCCUUUCCCGGAUGUCUAAUUGGUGACAGCCUAUUAUGCCCAAGGGGUUUACUUUUCUCCAGGUGCAGAAUAACAGAGGAGAGAUUUGUUUACUCUCUCCCUUUUUUUUUUUUUUUUUUUUUUUGACAUUAACAACUUUGUUUAAUGGCCUGGGAGCUUGAGCCGGUCAGAUCCCUAGAGCAGGGUCCACACACUCAGCCCUGGACUUUCUCCCACCUAUUCCAACCCAGCCUCACACUCCCAUAACUGCAUUCCUAGCCUUUUCUUCCCGUUUUUAACACUGUGCUUCACCUAGUAAUCAACAUAAAAACAAAGCAGAUAGAAGGACAGGCCUAGGUCAGGCAACCAUCUGGGGUAAUGCAGGUGUCACAGCCACAGGCCAGGCUUGACUGGCACAGGUCUGGGGAGCCUGGGGGCAGCCUGGGUGGGUGUGAAUUAACAGCCUGGAGGUGGUGGGAGGGGGCAUUCUGUGUGCCUCUGGGGAGGGGCGGAGGUGAGGUGUUCUCUUUGUCAGGGACCCUUGGAUCUGCUGGGGACAGAGCCUGCCCAACUCCCUCCUAAGCAACUUCUGUUUCCUCUGCUCUCCCUUCCUGCAACCUGCACUCCUGCUUCCUGCCUGGCACUACCAACUGUGGGAAACCCAAGUAGGUGGCACCAUAGUGGGGGGCAAAAGGCAAAGCCUUGGUUGGGUAGGGGGCAUAACUCCAGGCCUAGUUCUGCAAGCCCUGACACUGAGGCAGGAUGCUUACAGAGGAGACAAAAAAGCAAUGCAGUGCCUCGAAUAACAACUGGGGUGCCCCCACACUGCCACUGACAACUGCCCCUCAAUAACUAGUACACCCUAGUCUUUCUAGCUUCUGGGCACUCCUAGAAACCAGAGCUUCCAAACCCUUCAGUUCACACAGGCCAGGACUUGCUGAGGGCAGGGGGCGGGGGAGGAGGUGAGGGUUGCUUUCAGGAGUAUCUGUUCUUGCUCCCAUAAUCUUGGAGUGGAUCACAAAACUGAGUAAGUGUUGCUAUGGUUAUUAAAGUCAUUCCUUUUAAAAAAGAGCAAAACAUGGCAGAUUUUCUUAACAACUUGUUCAAAUGGCAACAGUCCCGGGUUGUAGCUAAUUAAGUGUGCUAAAGAUAAACACAAGAUCGCACAUUCCUAUUAAGAUUGUUUGCUCCUGGUUCUUUUACACACACACACACACCACUUUGAA